GUGCCAGCCGCCGCGGUAAUACGGGGGGGGCAAGCGUUGUUCGGAAUUACUGGGCGUAAAGGGCGCGUAGGCUGCUCGUUAAGUCGGGUGUGAAAACUCUGGGCUCAACCCAGAGCCUGCAUUCGAAACUGACGAGCUAGAGUUCUGGAGGGGAAAGCGGAAUUCCUGUGUAGCGGUGAAAUGCGUAGAUAUCAGGAGGAACACCCGUGGCGAAGGCGGCUCUCUGGCCUGUAACUGACGCUGAGGCGCGAAAGCGUGGGGAGCAAACAGGAUUAGAUACCCUGGUAGUCC
Molecule: ribosomal RNA, 291 nt
Filed under: uncultured bacterium
Lineage: Bacteria
Description: partial 16S ribosomal RNA
Rfam family: Bacterial small subunit ribosomal RNA
Source: RNAcentral